CCGUAUAAGAUGAAAAGAAAUGGAUGGCCUGACCUAGAUCCCGCAUCCCAUCCUAAACAUUGCUGUCGCCGCCGCAGCCGCAGCCGACGCUCCGACGGCCAGCUUCCAUUCGUCGGAAUUGAGUCUAAGGGGAAGACACUUCGAUCUUUCUGCCGCAGGGGUGGAGAAAUGCAGGCGCGGCAGUUCUUGAAUGUGGUGAUGCAGAGGUAUGGCAGAGGCGGCUUGUAUACGGCGACUCGCAUCAAGCCAGAUGAGCAACUCUUCUACCGAUCCACGGAGGAAGCACUAGCAGCAAAAAUAUCGGCGCCAUCCCACUCGACUGUGGUGUUGCCAUCAUCAACCGUAGUGCCACCAUGGAUGGAGACGAUGUCGCGGAUGCCCUCGCCCAGGCUCAGAUUCGAGAGAUCUAUCUUAGACGACAAAAGGCUCGAUUUCUUGCCCUUCUGUGAGGGGGGCACAGGUGGUGAUAGCAAGAUCCUCUGCAUGGACGCUGCGGGCCACACUGUCCUAUAUGACAUUGAUGCCGGCUCCCUCCAGCCAAUUCCCUGCCUCAGCAGUCCCAAAGGAUCCAGCCCCAUCGGCAUCUCCAUCGCUAAUCCGGACAUGCCUGCUCGCCAGCGUGGUGACGCCUUCUACGUUAUGGGCAGGUUCCCCACGAGCCGCAAUCCAUGCAACUUUGAGGCACUCAAGUACAUCGACCCUUCCAGCAGUGGGAAGCUUAAAGGUUGGCAGUGGCACCAGCUCCCUAUGCUGCCGGCGCAUGUUGAUUUUUCCAUUGUGAAGUGCCAUACACUCCUUGAAGUUGAUGGUGACCCAGUAAUUGUCGUCUCAUCUCCAAAACAAAAUGGCGUUGGCACCUACUGCUUCAACGCGGUCAGCUGCAAGUGGUUUAAGGCUGGCAGUUGGACACUUCCCUUCUUCAGCCGUGCUGAGCAGAUACCAGAGCUCGGCAACCUCUGGUUUGGCAUAACCAGUGAUGCACCCAACCACUUCUGUGCAAUGGACCUCUCCUCUGUUAGCUCGGAUAGAGCUCCGUCUUUGCAACACAGUUGGCAAGACCUUGAUCUGCCUAAUGACUGGGUGAUGCUAGAUUGCAGCUUUGUGUACUUGGGAGCUGGGAGGUUUUGUAUCACCAAAGUCUUCGAGUUUGGUAUUGAUGAAGAGACUGGUUAUCCGGCUGAGAUGGGUGCUGUGAUAUCAGGUGUGGAGGUGGUGCACAAAAAAAGACUCCAGAUGGUCAAACAUAAGUCCAAAUUCUACAACUUCAUCAGAGACGACAUUGUGUGCGUCUUCUAAGCUGGGACACAAUUCUAGAAUAUUGAAUUCUGGAAUCUGGAUUCCAGGUUCCUUGGUUCUCUCUAGUCGGUGAAUCUUCAUUGCUGUGUCUCUUCGCCUCUUCAUUCUAGAAAAUCUGGAUCCAAGGACUUUCUCCAAGAAAGAUCAUCAGAUCAGAUUAGAAGAUGGCGUUCAGACUUAAACUGGCCCAAGAUAUUGGUGGUUCUGAAUAUGAACAGAUCCAAGCGAAUAAAGGAGUUUCAAAUCCCGUUGAGAGAAACAGGAGUAUGUACUCUUUUAUAAAUAGUGUAAAGAGGAACAAGCUGAACUCAAAGGCAGUGGAUAAGCUCGUGUACAUCUACGGGAACAUACGCUCAAAGCCGCAAGAUCACUAGCUCUAAGAGAUUGGAUAACUGGAGUACCAAUUGCUUUUUGAACCAUAUGAAGUUCUCAACUUGCUUAGCAUUUCCAAUAUAUAUUAGUUAGUUGCGAUUUUUUCAGCGCACUGUGUGAACUUAGUACUGAACUUGAUACGCUUUUAGCCUAAAGUUGUGAACUUACGUGUUUAAGUCUAAAUUCCUAAGUUAUUGUA
Molecule: RNA transcript, 1867 nt
Organism: Lolium perenne
Lineage: Eukaryota; Viridiplantae; Streptophyta; Magnoliopsida; Poales; Poaceae
Source: RefSeq, a predicted model, not a curated record